UGGGGAAUAUUGCACAAUGGGCGCAAGCCUGAUGCAGCCAUGCCGCGUGUAUGAAGAAGGCCUUCGGGUUGUAAAGUACUUUCAGCGGGGAGGAAGGCGAUAAGGUUAAUAACCUGGUCGAUUGACGUUACCCGCAGAAGAAGCACCGGCUAACUCCGUGCCAGCAGCCGCGGUAAUACGGAGGGUGCAAGCGUUAAUCGGAAUUACUGGGCGUAAAGCGCACGCAGGCGGUCUGUCAAGUCGGAUGUGAAAUCCCCGGGCUCAACCUGGGAACUGCAUUCGAAACUGGCAGGCUAGAGUCUUGUAGAGGGGGGUAGAAUUCCAGGUGUAGCGGUGAAAUGCGUAGAGAUCUGGAGGAAUACCGGUGGCGAAGGCGGCCCCCUGGACAAAGACUGACGCUCAGGUGCGAAAGCGUGGGGAGCAAACA
This 427-nucleotide ribosomal RNA is filed under the name uncultured bacterium. RNAcentral describes it as "partial 16S ribosomal RNA". It matches the Rfam family "Bacterial small subunit ribosomal RNA", at positions 355 to 774 of the family's 1533-position model. The record is from RNAcentral.